RNAcentral lists this unclassified non-coding RNA (205 nucleotides) under Hevea brasiliensis (rubber tree). Lineage: Eukaryota; Viridiplantae; Streptophyta; Magnoliopsida; Malpighiales; Euphorbiaceae. The record is from RNAcentral.
CAAAAUUAAAUUGUAAGGUCUUCUUUUUCUUUAAUUUGAAUUUUAAUUUGGUUUAAUUUGAUUUUAAUUAAAUUUAAUAGUUAAAUUUUAAACUUUUAUUUUUAAAAAAAGUUAAGAAAAAGGGUUUAUAAAUUGAUUUCAAUCCGAUCUAAUUCAACACCGAUUUUACAUAACCCAUUUUUCAUCUAAUUUUGAUCCUGAAUGG